Long non-coding RNA from Diospyros lotus (date-plum), 1373 nucleotides. RefSeq lists it as uncharacterized. The record is from RefSeq and is a predicted model, not a curated record. The transcript is spliced from 3 exons. NCBI's taxonomy places the organism in Eukaryota, Viridiplantae, Streptophyta, Magnoliopsida, Ericales, Ebenaceae.
UAUCCUCAAAUUUUAAAAAUACUAAUAAAAGAAUAAAUUAAAUUAAUUUAAAUUAAUUAAAUUAAUGUUUUAAUUUGAGGCGGUGUGCGGGUGUUGUAGAUAAAAAAAGAGAGAGAGAGAUAUUUUUCUCUCACAUGGAAGCUUCUGGCCAAAUGGAGAAAUCAGAGGAGAGAAACAGAGAGUGAGACAUAGAGGGAGCGAGCAGAGAGAGAGCUCACGAGAGAUUGCAAAGGAGAGAGCUGAUGCGAGAGAGGGAGAGAGAGACGAGGUGCAAGGCGGCCAUGGAAGCUGCCGAGUGAAGCUCGACCAUGGCAGUCGAGUGAACCAGUAGCAGCGUGCGUGUCUAAAACACUAAAGGAAAUGACCUUGGAUCAUGUGUGCAAGGGAAAAAUAAUAGAAUUUUGGGAGUUUUCGGCAAAGGAAGUGAUCAGGAAAUGAUUUAAUUUGCAUCGGGAGCUCGAGUGAGGUCAGAAUCAGCUGGUUUCAGGCAAGCUCCUAACCCUCUCCUCGUGCUUUUCAAUUCCUGUGAAAGACCCCGUAAUUUCUCGUAUUUAGUCUUCUCCCUUACUUUAUUUUGGCACUUAGCCUUAUCUAUUGAAUUAUUAUUCAUUUGUUUUAAUUAAAUUAAAUCCGAGACUUCUAGCAUUUUAUUUGUUGUGAGCCUAUGGGGGUUUGUACCGCCCCCACUCCUUUUGGGAAUGAUGCUGAACCCAGUUGGGACUAGGUUCCUAGACGGGCGGGUUUAUUUAUGAUUUUAUUGGGUUUAUUUACAGUUUUCUUGGAUUUAUUUAUGGUUCGGUUAGAGCUAUCGAGCAGUAGGGCAGGGGUCGAUUGUUGGUAACGUUGGAGUAGACUAUCGUACGGCCCUGAUGUGGACCGUCGGGUGGACACCCCUAGUCACUGGCCGUUGACCGAUGCCACGCACUGCUGACAAGCUCUGCCGGUAUGUGAUUUACUGCAUGAUUAGAUACAUUGUAUCACUGUUCAUGAUUUGAUAUGCACAUGGGUACGGGAUGCAUAUUGGGAUAUCCAUUUAUUGAGAAUGCUUGGACACGGACAUUCUAGUUUGGUUAGGUUGCAUCCAGCGCGAGCAUAUGCAUGGCGUGUGGUUUACUAUGUGGGCGGAGCAUGGCCUGAUGCCUGGAUGUAUGGGCGCCUUGUAUCACGUUGAUGCUCACUACGCCAUUGCAUUUCUAUGUGCAUUGCAUGGAUACUAGUAGUAUUUAGUUCUCGGACGGGAGUACCGUUCCGAGGGAGCCUAUGGCUCGGUUGUCGGGAGUACCGACGGAUACAGGUGACGGGAGUACCGGCCUGGGACAGCGCGCGCAGGUUUGUGGAGACAUUUGUUGCCUUUCAGGGCAGCGGCAGGUUGG